CUUGUUCAUCACUCUACCCAUUUACAAAAACAGAUUUUUGUUCAAUUCAAUUCCAAGAAAUCAACAGAACACAAAAUCAAUUCUCCUCUCCUUGAUUCAAACCACCACCCACGACCACCAUCUUCCACCACCAUAUCCACCAUUAUCGACCACCACCAACCAACUAGAACCACUCGACUGCCGCAACCACCACCGCACACCCACCGUAGCUCCCUGCUCUCUCUCCUUCCACGUCGCAAACUCCCCUGCCCCUCCCUCUUUUCUCUUCGUUGCACCACACCUGCAGCCACCAACUCAGCACCACCACCACCUCCAGCCACCAUCACCACCUUGCCAACCAACUGCUACCCCAAAGUAACCCGUCGCGCCGCCCUACUCCCGCCCAGACACGACCAAGAAACACCCCUUUCCCCUGUUUUUCUUUCGCCCAACCAAUCCCCUUUUCCCCUCCUUCCCCCGCCUGUAUCACCGUCGCCCCACCACCACCAUCACCGUCGCCUCCAGGCGCGGUUCACGGUGAUGCGCCGCCCAGCCUGGCCACCUUAUUCCUCCCUCCUCUUCGUGCUUCCCCUUUCCCCUGUUUCGGCUUCCCUGCUUCCGAUUCACGCCUCCCCUUUUCUUUUCCAGAAACCCAAAACCAACUUUGGAUUUAAAACCUUUUAUUUCCUCCAAACCAUAAUAAAAGGUGGGCCAUAUUUCCUUUGGGCUUUUGGAAUUGGACUCGGAGCUCAGGACAAACGAACCAAGGAAAAUCCUUAGCAAAAUCGUGGAAGUGAGGUGCUGCGGGGAACGAUGGAAACGAUUAGUGGCGAGGAAUUUCACCAUUAUAAUAUUCACCUAGUUUAUGCUUAAAGUUAUAAUAGUUUAAUUAAGAACUUUUAGUAAGUUAUGGACUUUUAUUUUGGUAAUAUAAAGGAUUAUUAUAUUAAUUUGGAGAUUUAAUGGCAUAGAAUAUGAUGGUUGCCUUGUAAUUCCCAAGAGGGAGUUACGGCAGGUAAUGUCCCGACCAAAUUAGGUUAAUUCCGCUGCUAAUUAUGAUUCAAUAUUUGGAUUAGAGGUCGGGGUGUUACAGUUUGGUAAGGUAACGGUGUGAGUAGUGGGUAGUGGUAGAGGUAGCGUUUGAUUAGCUUUUGAGAAACGUUACAAAUAUUAAUUGUUGUAACGGAUGCAAAGAAACAUUAAAUAACGUAAAUAAAGAAAGCAGAGAAAAAAAAUAGCAUUUAAGCCAUCCAAUCCCGGAGUGGCUAUUCUGCCCUUUUUUUUCAAAAUGGGAUUUAACGUGAUUCACUCACAAUGUAUUAGCUACGUCCACAGGUAGAGGGGAGGAAAGUUUUAUUGAUCUUGAUGAGUACAGAUUACAAAAUACAACUAGAUUAUAACCUAGUGAGUUUAUAUAGUAAUCUCUAAACGGAUGCGGAAAAACCCAGAAAAUAGGCCCAAAACAGAUAACCCUAGUCCAGAACAACGGAUACCGUAAGAUUCGGCGUUGCAGUAAAGGGUUUGACCGAUUCAAGGCAUUAUUCUAAGAUUAACUUUUGGUGUAGCGGUGGUUGUUUACUGUUGUUUAAUCGGACUUUUAAUAGAACUUAUUUUCUGAUUGGUCCAGUUCUUUAGAAAUCAUGCAUGUAUGAUAUCAGGUUUACACGUUUUAA
Molecule: long non-coding RNA, 1652 nt
Organism: Spinacia oleracea (spinach)
Lineage: Eukaryota; Viridiplantae; Streptophyta; Magnoliopsida; Caryophyllales; Amaranthaceae
Exons: 3
Source: RefSeq, a predicted model, not a curated record